GAUGAACGCUGGCGGCGUGCUUAACACAUGCAAGUCGAACGGAAAGGCCAUGCUAUUGUGGGGUGCGCGAGUGGCGAACGGGUGAGUAACACGGGAGUAACCUGCCCUCGACUUUGGGACAACUUCAGGAAACUGGGGCUAAUACAGGAUAGGAGCUCCUGCUGCCUGGAGGGGGUUGGAAAGUUUUGGCGGAUGGGGAUGGGCUUGCGGGUUAUCAGCUUGUUGGUGGGGUUGUGGCUUACCAAGGCUUCGACGGGUACGCGGCCUGAGAGGGUGACCGGCCACAUUGGGACUGAGAUACGGGCCGGAGUCCUACGGGAGGCAGCAGUGGGGAAUAUUGCACGAUGGGCCGAAGCCUGGUGCAGCAACGCCGCGUGCGGGAUGGCGACCUUCUGGUUUUAAGCCGUAUUCGGCUGUGACGAAGCGUGUUUGACGGUACUGGAUAAAGAAGCACCGGCUAACUACGUG
RNAcentral lists this ribosomal RNA (468 nucleotides) under uncultured bacterium. Its description in RNAcentral is "partial 16S ribosomal RNA". It matches the Rfam family "Bacterial small subunit ribosomal RNA", at positions 28 to 507 of the family's 1533-position model. The record is from RNAcentral.